AACGAACGCUGGCGGCAGGCCUAACACAUGCAAGUCGAGCGGACCUUUCGGGGUCAGCGGCGGACGGGUGAGUAACGCGUGGGAAUAUGCCCUUCUCUACGGAAUAGUCCUGGGAAACUGGGGUUAAUACCGUAUACGCCCUUUGGGGGAAAGAUUUAUCGGGGAAGGAUUAGCCCGCGUUGGAUUAGGUAGUUGGUGGGGUAAUGGCCUACCAAGCCGACGAUCCAUAGCUGGUUUGAGAGGAUGAUCAGCCACACUGGGACUGAGACACGGCCCAGACUCCUACGGGAGGCAGCAGUGGGGAAUCUUAGACAAUGGGGGCAACCCUGAUCGAGCCAUGCCGCGUGAGUGAGGAAGGCCUUAGGGUUGUAAAGCUCUUUCAGCUGGGAAGAUAAUGACGGUACCAGCAGAAGAAGCCCCGGCUAACUCCGUG
Molecule: ribosomal RNA, 433 nt
Filed under: uncultured bacterium
Lineage: Bacteria
Description: partial 16S ribosomal RNA
Rfam family: Bacterial small subunit ribosomal RNA
Source: RNAcentral